Non-coding RNA from Callithrix jacchus (white-tufted-ear marmoset), 10012 nucleotides. The record is from RefSeq and is a predicted model, not a curated record. Lineage: Eukaryota; Metazoa; Chordata; Mammalia; Primates; Cebidae.
GCUAUAUUUAUAUAUUUAAACUCUUUCCCUAGUCAUUCCAAUGUCUAGCUUCCUCUAGCAUGGUUUUUGUCUAUUAUUUUUUUCUGUGGAUGAGCUGUACUUUCCUGUUUCUUUGUAUGCCUGUAUUUUUUGUUGUUUAAAACUGGACAUUUUGAACACUAUACUGUGGUAACUCUAGAUAGCACACUUUCUUCUCUCCCCAGGAUUUGCUGUUGUUGAUUGUUGAGGACUGCAGUAGUCUGUUUGUUUAGUGACUUUUCCAAACUAUUUUUGUAAAGACCAUGUUCUCUGUUUUGUGUAGUCACUGAAGUUUCUGUUCUAUUAUUUCACUGGCCAGCCAGUGACCUGACAGAGGUUUCCUUAAAUGCCCAGAGCCAAAAAGAAAAAUCAAAGCAACUCCAUUGGUCUUUGCAUAUUGGCUGGGGUACUCCUUUAACUCUGCCUUAGCCCUUACCUCCUGCUUGCAUGGAGCCCAAAGACCAGCCAGAUGUGCAAGUAUAUGAUUUAUUCUGAGCCUAUAUCUGGCUUUGAGCCUGUGUGUUGCACUCUAGAUUCCCUAGUAUACAAGACAGCCCUUCAGAGCAUUUAUUCCUCCUCCUUGCUCCUCCCCCAAGACUCCUCCUCCUCAGCUUUCUCCUAUUGAGGCUUUUGAGUCUGUCUUCUGCUUGCCUGCUUUUUCAUCCUUUGCUCCAGGCAGCUAUGGGUAUCGCAUGUCUUUGCUUGCCUUUGCCGUUUCUGUGGUACCACUCCUCCUCCUGCCAGAUUUUGCCCCAGCCCUUUAUUUCUCUGAUUUCCUUCAUCAUUUUCCCCUUAUGAGUAUCUUGCCUUAGAUGACAAAUGAUUCUAGUCUCACUCAUCUAAAAAGAAAAUAAUCUCCAUCCAAUUUUUGUCUUCUCCAAAGAUUGUCUACAUUCUCUCUCUCCCCUUCAAUUUUUUUUGCCCCACAAACCCCUACAUUCUUGUUUUUAUUAAAUUAUGCUCCUUAAAGACAACCUAUGAUUUCCUAAUUGCUCUGUGAAAGUUGAGGGGUUUUUAGUCAACUUCUUGUAUGUUUUGGAGGCAUUGUUCAAUGCUGACCCAUCCUUCCUUCCUGAAACAUUUGUUCCUUUUGACUUCUGUGACAUUUACUGGUUUAUGUUUCCUGACAUUUGUGAUUCUUUUGAUUCUUCCUGACAUUUAUUAUUCUCUCUUUUAUGGGCUUAUCUCCUUCCACCCACUCCUUAACUCCUUAAACUCCGAGAUCCCCCAAGGCUUAACCCCUCACCCACAGUCUUCGUUACACACUCUCUGGGGGAUCUUGUCCACACUCACUCAUUGUUUUGACAUUAUCUAUACACCGAUAACUCCCAAUUCUGUGUCUCUAAAACUUUUAUUUUCCUCCUUAAGAAGAGAACUCAUAUAUCCUAUUUCCUACUAGAUGGAUAGAUCAACAUCUCACAGGUACCAAAACAGAAACUACCCUAACCUCUUCCUCCAGUAUUCUCAAUCACCACUGGAAAUACCACCUGUCACUAGGUUAGAAAUUGAGUUUCAAUUUAAACUCCCUGUUCUUUGUUAUCAACACACAAGGAAUCAGUGAGUUUUGUCUGUUUAGCCUCUUGGGUAUGUCCUUCUCUCUUGGACCACUGUGUCAGCAUCCUCAGUAGUCUCUCUCUCAGUGCUGUCAUCCGGUAAUUUCUUUCUUUUCUUUUCUUCUUUUUUUUUUUUGAGACAGAUUUUCACUCUGUCACUCAGGCUAGAGUACAGUGGCAUGAUCUCAGCUCACUGCAACCUCUGCCUCCUGGGUUCAAGCAGUUCUUAUGCCUCAGCCUCCCAAAUAGCUGAGAUUACAGGCACACACCACCAUGCCCAGCUAAUUUUUGUGUGUGUAUAUAUAUAUUUUUUAGCAGAGACAGGGUUUUGCCAUGUUGCCCAGGCUGGUCUCAAACUCCUGAGCUCAGACAAUCCACCUGCCUUGGCCUCCCAAAGUGCUAGGAUUACAGGCAUGAGCCACCAGGCCCAGCCCCCUAAUUCCUUUCUCAUCUGCAGAAGAGGAAAUUCUUCAAUGCAAAUAUAAUCAUAUCCUUCCUGCUUUUAGUUCUUUAGUGGCUGCCCAUCUUCUUCAGCUCCUUCAUCAAUCAGGCCCCCACACAUCUCACUAUUGACACUUCCUGCUUCUGACUUUAUGUUACAGCGCCUUUGGACUGCAGCCAUUCAUCUGCAUUUGCCAGGCCUUUUCUUGCCUCUGUGUCUUCCCUCCCUCUCCCACUCCAUAACACCUACUCACAUCAUUCCUAAAGGCAUUCCUGGCUCCAUCCUCAAGGUCACUGCUCUGAGCUCUGGGGACACAUUGGGCCUAUUCUAGUGGUUGCAUUCGUACACUGUUCUGCAGUGAUCUGUCUCCAUGCCUUUCCCUUUUACUUCAGGCUGCUCGUAUACCCAUCACCUUUUGCAUUCCUGCCACAUUGUUAAUCCUCAGCUGAAGUUAACAGAACAAAUCCAUGAAUAAAUGAACAAAUGAUGUACAGAUUUUUUUCCCCUUCCUAUGGGAAAGAGUUGGCAAAAUAGAAAUUAGAAGCAGUAACUGGAAACAAUCAUGAGAAAUCUUUCAAAUAGAAAACAAUACACUGCUGGUUUAACUGGUUUUUAAAAGUAAUCAUAUUUAAAGCAAUAUUUAGAGUAGCAUUUGAACUUUAUGGAAUUCUAAAUUGGGAGAGAUUACAGAAGGUCAUCUGUCUCAACCUCUAGUUUCUGAAAUACAAUAAUUAAAAAGAAAAAAAAUGCUUAUUUUAAAAGAUGCCCUUUAAAAGAGUUUCAUGUGUCUUGAACCAUCCCUGGACAAUGAGCCUUACAAUUUCUGGACCUGCUGAACUAAAACUGUUCAACCAAAUACUAAAAUAAGCUCCAAGGAAAGGAGUGGGGAGGUUUGCUGUGGAGAAGAGCUGGUGUUGCCUAGUAACCUAUAGGCAGCCCUGCCAUAGGCUUGCGCUUGCCUGACCUCCCAGAUAGCCAGGAGCAAGGAAACUUACUUGUCAACGUACUGAUACCUCCUUCUUUUCUGUCUCUUUAAAGAGCACCAUUCUCAGUUCACUGCAACCUCCGCCUCCUGGGUUCAAGCCAUUCUCAUGCCUCAGCCUCCCCAGUAGCUGAGAAUACAGGCACGCACCACCAUGCCCAGCUACUUUUUUAUAUAUUUUUUUUUUCAGUAGAGACUGGUGAAAGUCAUUAAGUCCUAAUCUUUGUUUCUAGCUAGUGGUUGUCAAUCUAUAGCGUAUGUAAGGCUUGUUAAACCAUAGAUUACUGGCUCCACCCCCAGAGUUUCCGAUUCAGAUGUCUGGGCUGGGGUCCAAGAAUCUGCAUUGCUCGAAAGUGCGUCCCAGGUGAUGUUGGUGAUGCUGGUCUGGGGACCACAUUUUGAGAGCCACUGUUCCAUGCUGUCUCUGAGAAUGGCCACGAUGACUCACAUGACGACCUUCAGGAUGCAGUUAAAUGGGAUUUAAGGUUAUAUUUUUAUGCCUCUCAAAUACUCAAAUAAAUGUCAUGUUGGAGGAUGUAAACCAUCACCUUGUCUGGGCUGCUUUCUAAACUAUUUUGCUUUUAGGUUAGUAGUUUUGUUUCUCUGGCCUUCUUGGAUCCUUCGUAGAUAGGUCACUGGGCUAUUGUGCCUUAUAGUUAAUGAAAUCAUCACUGAUGUGGAAUACUAAUAGGGCAAGUUUUCAAGAGCUACAGACAGGGUCUCUGCAUGCAUUGUGACCAGUUGUUUAGGAACUUUUGUACUUUUUAACAAGCACAUUUUUUAAAAACACAUGAAAGUGAAUGUUCUAAAGUGAUACAAUUUUUUUUUUUUUUGAGAUGGAGUCUCUGACGCCCAGGCUUGGAAUGUAAUGAUACAAUCUCCACUCACUGCAACCUCUGCCUCCUGGGUUCAAGCGAUUCUCCUGCCUCAAACUCCUGAGUAGCUGGGACUACAGGCAUGGAUCACCAUGCCCGGCUGAUUUUUGUAUUUUUAGUAGAGAUGGGGUUUUGCCAUGCUGGCCAGGCUGGUCCCAAACCCCUGAUCUCAGGUGAUCUGCCGCCUUGGCCUCCCAAAAGUUCUAGGAUUACAGGCGCGAGCCACCGAGCCUGGCCUAAAGUGAUAGAAUAUUUUAAAUAAGUCUGUGUCUAUGUUUUUGGAUUUUUUGUUUGUUUAAUCUUUUGUUUUGUUUUGUUUUUGCUGAUUUGUUUGUUUGUUUUUUUGAGAUAGAGUCUGGGUCUGUGGUCAAUCACCAGGCUGGAGUGCAGUGAUUCAAUCUUGGCUCACUGCAACCUCCACCUCCCGGGUUCAAGCAAUUCUCCUGCCUCAGGGUCCUGAGUAGCUGGGACUACAGGCUUACGUCACCAUGCCCAGCUCAUUUUUGUAUUUUUUUAGUAGAGACAGGGUUUCACUAUGUUGGCCAGGAUGGUCUCUAUCUCUUGACCUUGUGAUCCACCUGCCUCAGCCUCCCAAAGUUCUGGGAUUAUAGGCGUGAGCCACCAAGCCCGGCCUGUUUUUGCUGUUUUUAAAGGAAAAAGAAGAGAAUAAAAAGAUGAGUGUUGAGAGUGCUGAUAGAGAGCAGUGUGACUCCCAAGUGUCACAGGGGCUCAGAUGCCACAAAGACCCCAGAUAUGGCUGUGUACAGGCACUCUUUGUUCAUGCUUCACACCAGCUUCAAAGCAGAACCAACCGAGGCAGGAGUGAGCAAUGUGAAAUGUACAGACUGAGAGGGUUUCAUUGCUACCACUCAGCAUUUCACCCCCAGAUUCCCCAUUAGUUUUUGUUACAAGUUUCUCUGCUGCAGAGCCCUGCUCUCUCUUCAUUCACUCUCCCUGGCUGCAACCAAGUGGAAGCCAUUGCCACCUUUUCCUUUGCAAUACUAAGCAGUUUAGCUGAGUCCCAGCUCUCUCAAGUCCAGCCACCAGCUGGCCCAGGCUCAAAAAGGACUCAGGAAAGCACAUUAUCAAAGCAGGUCGCCUGCAGAGGGAUUUUAUCAGUAAGGGUCCUGGCAGGAACAGAUGGAGCACUCCAAUGGGUAAUUUGAGGAGAAUUUAAUUGAGGGGCCAUUUAAAGGCAUAGGCCAGGUUUAGGGAAAACAAUUAGGGCUAGGAACAGCGGACUGACUUACCCCUCUCUAUUAGGCAGAAUUCUAAGAAGACUUCCAAUGUGUCACACCCUUGUAUAAUCUGCCCUUAAAUAUGGGUAGAACUUGGUGGGGUGCAGUAGCUUAUGCCUGUAAUCCCAACACUUAUUAGCCAGGAGUGGUGGCAGGUGUAAUUCCAGCUACUCAGGAGUCUGAGGCAGGAGACUCACUUGAACCCAGGAGGUGGAGGUUGCAGUGAUCUGAGAUCGUGCCACUGCACUGCAGCCUGGGCAACAGAAUGAGACGCCAUCUCAAAAUAUAUAUAUACAUAUGGGUGAAAAUUGUGAUUUGUGUCUAGCCAAUAAAAUAUGACAGAGGUGAUGGGCUAUCACUCCUAUGAUCAAGUUCCAUUGUGGAGGAAUGUGUCUUAGCUGACUAGUGAGAGAGUCUCCUGCUGGCCUUGGAGAAGUGAGCCACGAUGUUGUGAGACAGCCAUCUGGCAGGGAGCCAUGGGUAACUUCUAAGACCUGGAGUGGUCCUUGGUUGAAAGCCAGCAAGCAAGAAAGCAGCAUUCUCAGUACCAUGAUGAUGAGAAAUCAAGUUCUGCCAAUUGCCAUGUGAGUUUAGAAGAGAACUCAAGCUCCAGAAAGAAAUGCAGUGUGGCCAACACCCGAGUGGUAGCCUUGCAAGAGCUGAACAGAGGACCCAGCUAAGCCAGGCCCAGAUGCCUGAUCCACAGAGACUGUAAGAUAAGGCAUGUGUGCUGUUUUAAGCCACUGAGUUUGUGGUGAUUUGUUAGGCAGAAUAGAUGGCUAUGACAUAUCCCUAAGACCCCAAGACUAAUGAGGCAAUGAGAGAGGGCAGUUACCAGAACCCAAAGGAUGGGCAUUCUGGCCAGAGCUGUGGCCUUCGGGAGGCACAGCCAACCUGUGGCAGCCUGAGCAGGAGGGAGCGAGGGAAGGAGGACUCUAACCUCCCCCUCACCCUGUUCUCUGGCCCUUGUCAGUGCUCCCACUAGAAAACCCAGACAGAGGAAGCAGAGAAGCAACUGGCUUCUAGAGUCCCACAUGGCAGCUUCUCAGGGCAUACUGCAGGGUGCAGAGGGGAGCACAGCAGAUUUGGAGGGGCAAAUGAUAUAUAUAUACAUCUAGUACCUGUGUAUUCUCAGACCAGACACAAGACAAAUAAGCUUUCUUUCAAAUACAUUCAAUGUUUGACAGUAGAGUAGAAAGACUAUACUUAAUAAAAAUGUACUGUACUUGGACGAUGGACAGCAUGAAUACUCUGACUUGAUCAGUAUACAUUAUAUACACGCAACAAAAUUUCACAGGAUCCAUAAGUUGGUAUAAUUAUUUAUUUAUUUUUUGACUCAGAGUCUUGCUCUGUUGCCAAGGCCCAGGCUAGAGUGCAGAGGUGAGAUCUUAGCUCCCUGCAACCUCCGCCUCCCAGGUUCAAGUGAUUCUUGUGCCUCAGCCUCCAGAGUAGAUGGGACUACAGGCUCACAUCACCACGCCCGGCUCAUUUUUGUAUUUUUAGUAGAGACUUGGUUUCACCAUGUUGGCCAGGCUGGUCUCGAACUCCUGACCUCAAGUGAUCCACAUGCCUAGGCCUCCCAGAGUGCUGAGAUUACAGGUGUGAGCCACCAUGCCUGGCCCAUAAGUUUGUGCAAAUUUAAAAAGAAAAAGUGAAAAAGAGUUUUCUUUCAUCUUGUUAUCUAUAUAAAUGGACAGCAGAAAGGAAAAGAAAUGAUAAUUGAGGUCUGGGUUUCCACAGUGGAACUAAAUAAAAGUAUCCUAUAAACUAAAAUGACUUAAAUCUUGACUUUCUCCCUUGAUAAGUAGGCUAAUCAAAGCAUAUCUGGACAUAAGUUGCUUUACUCCAGAGGCCCCUGUACUAUAAUUACACUUUAGGCGCCGGCAUUUUUCAAGGUCUAGAGAGAGACAAUGUGUAUACUAAGGCUGGAUAAGAAUUAGAUGAGAUACACACAUCAAAGAAAAAAAAAAAAGGUUGGCCAUAAAUCAUACAGUGCUGUAGUUACUGGGCAGAUGAAUGGUCUCUAGAGAACACUUUUGCUGUUAGUUUUUCCUAGUCAUUCCCUAAAAGAUAUAAUUUAUUCUCUGCUAUGAUAAGAAAUGGAUUAGUUCAAAUACCUGUGUCUGCUUUUAUAGCUAUACAGUUAAGGAUCUGCAUUCAUUUGCCCUGGCUGCUUUAACACGGUACCACCAACUGGGUGGCUUACACAAAUGAAAUGUAUUGUCUCACAGUUCUGGAGGCUGGAAGUCCCAGAUCAAGGUGUCAGCAUGGCUGAGAUUGGUUGGUUGUUUCUGAGACAGGAUCUUGCUCUGGUGGCCAGGCUGGAGUUCAGUGACACAGUCACGACUCACUGUAACCCUGACUUCCUGGGCUCAAGCAAUCCUCUAAUCUCAGGCUCAGGAGCAGCUGAGACCAGGGACCAUAGGCAUGUAUCACCUCACCAAGCAAAAUUUUUAUUUUUUUUACUAAUUUUUCAAUGUUUUGUAGAAACACAGUCUUGCUUUAUUGCCCAGGCUGGUCUCAAACUCCCAGGCUCAAGCAGUCUUCCUGCCUUGGCCUUCCAAAGUGCUAAGUUACAGGUGUGAGCCGCCACACUGACCAGGGUUGGUUUUGUUUUCCUGGUUGGUCGGUUCUGUUGGUUUUGAGACAGGGUCUUACUCUAUUGCUCAGGCUGGAGUGCAGUGGCACAGUCAUAGCUCACUGCAGCCUUGACCUCCCAGGCUUAAGCAAUCCUCCUACCUCAGCCUCCUAAUUAGCUGGGACCACAAGUGAGCACCCCCCCCAUGCCUGGCUAAUUUUUUAAAAUUUUGUAGCAACAGCCUCCCUUUGUUGCCCAGGCUAGUUUUGAAUUCCUGGGUUCAAGCAAUCCUCCCCCUUCGGCAUCCCAAAGUGCUGGGAUUGCAGGUGUGAGCCACCAUGCCCAGACCCAUUUUACAUUUAUAGGAUGUAAAAUAUGUCUUCAACCCAUGUUAAAUAAACCAAAGUUCAUGUUUAUGUACAGAUAUGGAACCAUAGCCAAGAUAAAGAGAUAAGUGAAAAAGAAAAUAAGGAUUGGGAGAGUAGUAUUUGCUGGUAUGUGCAUAGAAAUAUUUCUGAAAGGUAACACAAAACUUGCUAACAGUGGUUUUCCCUGGAGAGUGGGAAUAGGAUGGGGACAUUCCCUGCAAAUUCAUUUGUAUCUUUUGAAUUUGGUUCCAUGUGUAUGUACUAGAUCUUUGAAAACAUGGGUGAUUAAACAUUUUUAAAGGUAUCCGUGUUCUACAAACCAAAAUAUAUGCUCAACAUUGGAGGUGACCUUCCAGAAAAUAAAAAUAAUGAAUUUUCCCUCAAUGGACAAGGUUGUCAAUAGGCAGUCCUCCCAUAUCUGAUAUUUAUCCUCAUGUGCUAAGAAUGAUUUAUUCACCUCCACCAAUGAACUCAUUUCCACGAGGGGUACAGAGUUUUUAAUUAUGUGGCCAUGUACAAAAUCAGAAAUGUUCUGUCUUUCUGGUUUGCCUACGUGCUUUACACAGGAAAACUGGAAAACAUGCUUUCAUGCAAACUAUUGCAGGGAAAAGGACUAUAAACAUCAAACCGUUAAAACAAUCACUGUGAUUGGGAGGUGAGUGGGGAGGCCAUAUUCAUGUUUGUACUAUUUUUGAAGUACUUCCUGGGCCAUAAUUAAAGGGGAAACAAUCUUACACUAUUUGCUUUUCUGUUUAACAGUAUAGGUGGUUGUAUAGGAUGUUUCUGUUACUUUUUUUCCUUUUUUGAGAAAGAAAAAAAGGCUGUUGCCCAGGCUGGAGUACAGUGGCACGAUCUUGGCUCACUGCAACCUCCACCUCCUGGGCUCAAGCCAUCCUCCCACCUCAGCCUCCCAAGUAGCACACACCACCAUACCCAGCUAAUUUUUUGUAUUUUUAGUAGAGAUGGGGUUUUGCCAUGUUGCCCAGGCUGGUCUCGAACUUCUGAGCUCAAGCAACCCACCCACUUCGGCCUCCCAGAGUGCUGGGAUUGCAGGCGUGAGCGACCAUACCCAGCCUGUUACUAUUUAUUGAUCUCUCUGUUCCCUUUGGCGUUGUUCUAGUGGUGUCGUGCAAAUUGAGAAUGAGGUAGUUUUUUUUUCUAACUCAAUAAAAUGGCAUCAUAGAAGAGAUUCCUACAAUCAAGCAGUUGUUUUCUUUAGAAACUUAACAGUUCUUUUUUAGAAUACUUUAGAGACCCAGAAUAUAUCAGUUAUUAAUUCUUUCCUCUCCUUUCUAUCAGGCUGUGUGACCCUGGUUACUGUAGGCUCUUAUGUAAAAUGAGCUCUUUGCAGGUAAACACCUCUGUUCAAAUUACAUUCUGGAAUUGCUCAGCCCUCAGACAGAAAACUCACAAGGAUCACAUUUAGGAAACUGUCGUGCCUGGUCCAGAUCCUCAUCACAUCCAGUCAGUCAGCCAAGCAGACAGUCCCAAGGCUUUCAAGACUUUGCACGAAGCUGCUGAUCUGACACUUUCCAUUCUUCAGGGACUGCAUUUCAAGACUUGUAGGAGAUCAACUCCAUCAAGGGAACUUCAUUAAGGAGAACACCUGCUCAACACCUGCAGUGCAAGUGCAGUUAGAGACAAAUCCCUUUUCUCAUCUCUGACAACGCUCAGCGGACACUGGAGAGGAACAUGACUGCAUUCUAGAAGAGUGUCUCCUGUCUUCUAUUUCCAGCGUGGCCCUAUUACGGAAAUAAGCUAAUGGACUUCAAAGAUUUUGCUGCCUGUUUUGGCGUCGUCUCCAUAGAUUCACCACGGCUUCCUCCUUCCCUGAGCCUGCCUACUCUACCCAACAUUCCACCUCUUCCUAUGUCACAUGUAAGAGCUCAGAGUUUUAUGCAAUAAAUGUGUUAAACAAAUCAAAAAGGCAAAACCUUUUACUAAGGCACAAAGAAAAG